GAUAGUCAGCUACAGGCCUUUUUUUGUGAGCAGUGAGCGAUUUUUUUCCAUGGCCGAAUCUAAAAUGAAUGAAGAAAAGUGUUUACAACCUAAACUUCAUAAAUUGGAGACGACUUGGCUCGAUCAAGAAUAUGUUACAGAGCAAUUAAAAAACUGGAAUGUGUUGCUGUACCAACUCCCCCCACACCACGAAGCUGUGAACAG
Molecule: long non-coding RNA, 204 nt
Organism: Physella acuta
Lineage: Eukaryota; Metazoa; Mollusca; Gastropoda; Physidae
Source: RefSeq, a predicted model, not a curated record